AUUUUUUUUAACAGUGUAGCACAAAUAUCGAUGUGUUAAUCUGAGUAACUGUGGUUUAGCUUUUUGCGCUAUCAGAACUUUUUGAGUCUGUAGGCGGAACAAAUUCCUGCAGCCUUCAGACGGCUGCAACAAACUGCAAGUAUCAAGGAGUAACCUUCACUUCAGCUUUCUAACGCUUGUGAAUGCAGAACUGAAAACAUUUCGUCGCUCAGCCAUGUGGACACAGAGCAGCGUCUUCUAUUUGGCCAUUGUCGCUACAGUCUCUUAUCUGUCUGCAUCUUCAGCUGCUACAGAUGUUCAAAUAAGAUUAGUCAACCCACGUGAGUCUGAGUCAACUCGUUGCUCUGGAAGAGUUGAACUCUAUCACAACAACAGCUGGGGAACGGUCUGUGAUUAUGGAUGGGACAUAGAUGAUGCUGAGGUGGUCUGCAGUCAGUUAGAUUGUGGACCGGCAGUGAAUGCCACUCAGCAGGCCUUCUAUGGAGAAGGAAUAGGACAAAUCUGGUUAACUGAUGUGUCCUGUUCAGGAACGGAAAGUUCUCUAACUGAGUGUAAGCACAGAGGAUAUGGUUCACACAGCUGUGGACAUCGUGAGGAUGCUGGUGUCAUCUGUUCGGGUAUGCCCAUCAGAUUAGCUGGUUCUGGGUCCACUCCGUGCACUGGAAGAGUUGAAUACUACUAUAAAAAACGUUGGGGAACAGUCUGUGAUGAUGGCUGGGACAUAAAUGAUGCUGAGGUGGUCUGCAGACAGUUAGACUGUGGACCGGCAGUGAAACCCACUCGAUCAGCUCAAUUUGGUGAAGGAACAGGAGACAUCUGGCUUGAUGAUGUGGCCUGUUCAGGAAGUGAAAGUUCUCUAACUGAGUGUCAGCACAGAGGAUUUGGGACGCACAACUGUGGACAUCAUCAGGAUGCUGGUGUCAUCUGUUCAGGAAUCAGAUUAGCUGGAUCUCAGUCCCCGUCCUCUGGAAGAGUUGAAAUCUAUCACAAGAACAGCUGGGGAACAGUCUGCGAUGAUGGCUGGGACAUAAAUGAUGCUCAGGUGGUCUGCAGACAGUUAGUCUAUGGGACGGCACUGGCAGCUCCUAAAGAGGCUCAUUUUGGUGAAGGAAGUGGACCAGUCUGGUUUGAUAAUGUGGCCUGUUUGGGAAAUGAAAGAUCUAUAACCCAGUGUCAGCUUGGAGACUUGAGGAGCAGCUGUAGACACCAUAAAGAUGCUGGUGUCAUAUGCUCAGGUGUAGCCAUCAGAUUAGCUGGUUCUGGGUCCACUCAAUGCUCUGGAAGAGUCGAAAUCGCCUACAAUAAAACCUGGGGAACAGUCUGUGAUCAUAACUGGGACAUAAAUGAUGCUGAGGUGGUCUGCAGAGAGUUAAACUGUGGAACAGCCCUGAAUGCCACUCGAUCUGCUCACUUUGGUGAAGGAACAGGAGAAAUCUGGCUGGAUGAUGUGUCCUGUUCAGGAAGUGAGAAAUCUCUGACUGAGUGUAAUCACGGAGGAUUUGGGAUACACAGCUGUACACACAGUAAGGAUGCUGGUGUCAGCUGUUCAGGUGUGCCAGUCAGAUUAUCUGGAAGCACUUUGUGCUCUGGAAGAGUCGAAAUCUUUCACAACAACACUUGGGGAACAGUCUGUCAUGAUAACUGGGACAUGAAUGAUGCUGAGGUGGUUUGCAGAGAGCUCAGCUGUGGAACGGCACAGAGUGCUGCUGUAUCACCCCGCUUUGGUGAGGGAAAUGGAUCCAUCUGGCUUGAUGAUGUGUCCUGUUCAGGAAGUGAGAGAUCUCUGACUGAGUGUCAGCACAGAGGAUUUGGGACACAUGACUGUACACACAGUCAGGAUGCUGGUGUUGUCUGCUCAGUGAUCCUCCCAAAGCCCAGAAUCUUCAUGAAUCCUGCUAAUAAAGUUAAGUGGAGAAGUGAUCUCAACAUAACUUGUUCAAUAUCACCUCAAAGCCAACAGCUUCUACAAGGAGAAUUUACUCUGAAGCAGAUUUCAGGCUCAUUCAGUCAGACAAAACCAUCAACUACCAACUCUGCUACAUUCAGGAUCCUCAAUGUAGAUUUUGACAAGGAUGGAUUGUACCAGUGUGAAUAUUCAUACGACUCCAGCAUCUCCACAAGUGACUCUGCUAACCUCUCUGUUAUUGUGUCACUGGAGCAGCCCAGCAUUUCUGUGAGGUCUCCAAAUGGAGGACUGGUCAGGGUUCCUGAAGGUGCAGAAAUCAUCAAGGGUUACAGCUUCAACUUCACCUGCACCACUAGUGUACACUAUCCUGGAGCUGUUUUCUUUCUCAUCUUCUCUCGCUCUAAAAUUAAAUACAACAUGACAUCCGUCAACAACUCAGCCUACUUGAGUUUUCCUGUAGCUGACUUUGAACAUGAGGGCGACUACAGCUGUCUGUAUGAGAUAACGCUGCCAUCAAGGAAAAUCACUGCUCAAGAGGAUUGGUGGAUUCAUGCCUUUGUGAUAUAUUCAAGAACUCCAAUCCUGAGAUAUGUUUUCCUGCCACUGAUUCUGCUUUUGGAGAACAUUGCCCUUCAUUUCUACUAUAAGGUCUCCAAAAAGCAGAAACCAGCCAAAAAAGAGAACGCUGAGACGGAUGUUUCCAGAGAUGAAGAAGUUCAUGCUGAGGAGGAAACAGCAGAAGAGAUAGAAUAGAGUGUUACACACCUACACACACACACACACACACGCACACACACACCUACACACACAUACACACACACACACACACACACACACACACACACACACACACACACCUACACACACAUACACACACACACACACACACACACACAAACAGGUGGAGAGGCUUUCACCCAAAUAUUAUUUCUCACAGGUUGAUAAAUAAAUACAAUAGGAAAAGAAGAAGAACUGCUGACUUUGCUCUUUAGUGACAAGGUUCAACUAUGAGCACACAACAAGGUGAAGAAUAGGGUGAAAACAAUGUAAAAAAACAUGAUGCAAAUGUGUGUUUCUUAUAUAAAUUUGUGGAAUCUUGAGGCAUGUUAAGACUCGUGUAUAUACUGUAUGAUUUCCUUUUACAUAUAUACCCUAAAAAACCCUAAAACUAGAAGUUGCACUGUAAGCACUGAUGUUACUAUGUGUCAAAUCUCUAUUUUGAGAACUGCUUAAGGUAAAAUGGAAGCAGAGACAUAUAUUUUUUAUGUUCUUUGAAGUUUGAUUGCAAGAUUGACAUUAUUGACAAAGACAUUAUAGAUAAUAAAAAGUUGAGAUGACUACAUAGAAAAAGCACAUUAAAACAAUGCCUACAAAGAAAAUGAUGGUAUUGUAUGAAGAUCUACUGGAAACAAAUUCUUCAUUCUGUAACUUGGAACUGAAUAAAAAUUUGUCUCACAACAUUUAAUGUAUAAAGUGUGAGAACAGAGCUGCCAGCAGAGACACAGGAAGUCAGUGUGAUCGAGAUAAGGGUAUCUUAUAACUGCUACUGCUUUACAAAAAUAAAAUUCAGAACAACAAAAUAACUGUAGUAAAUUUAUUAGUAAAUAUGAAUUAGUUUUUAGCUGAUAUUUUCUGUAUUCAGAAAUCUUUGCACCUGCUCUAAAGCUAUAUCUCUCUGUAUUAACAUUCACCUGAUAAACCUGUCAUCGAGGACUCUGUUCUUCAUGUCCUGUUUGUGAGUUAUAUUUU
Molecule: long non-coding RNA, 3655 nt
Organism: Oreochromis niloticus (Nile tilapia)
Lineage: Eukaryota; Metazoa; Chordata; Actinopteri; Cichliformes; Cichlidae
Product: deleted in malignant brain tumors 1 protein
Exons: 12
Source: RefSeq, a predicted model, not a curated record